CAGGGAAACGGAGACGCCAGUCCUACAACCUCAGGGAAAUAAAAUCUGCCAACAACCCGAGUGAGGAGGAAACGGAUCCUCCCCCAUGGCUUCCAGAAAGGAACACAGCCUGCGGACGCCUGUUUAAGGGGGGUGAGCCCCGUGUUGGACUUCUGGCCUCCAGGACUGGCGCUGUGCGUGGCCGAGGGUCCACCGUGGAUGACCGGGGGCUCUGCUGUGGACAGUGAGUGACCACCAUGGACAAGUGUGUGUUUGUCUGUGGACACGGUCGUUCCCCUGUCCCCUGACUGCCCCCCACUUGUUACCGGGAGGUCUGGAGGUUGGGUGGGGCCUGUCCUGCCUCCCUCAGCCCCUGCUCCUUCUCUCUGAACCUCUGGUGUCGGAGCCCACAGAGUCCUCCAAAGGAUGUGGGUCUCAUGGGAGCUGCAGGGGGCCCCCAAGCUGGGACCCUGCUGACCUCAUGACCUUUAGAAAUGGAUGGACAGCCUCAACUCAGACGGAAGAUUCACUCCUGAACCAGAGCUUAUCGUUGGCUCACAUGCGACGUGUCAUUUCCAUGUUAUUCUUGUUUAUUUUCCAUCACAUCUGCAAGGGCAGAGAUUUUCACCUGUUCUGUUC
Molecule: long non-coding RNA, 618 nt
Filed under: Equus caballus (horse)
Lineage: Eukaryota; Metazoa; Chordata; Mammalia; Perissodactyla; Equidae
Description: lncRNA (ENSECAG00000046404.1)
Source: RNAcentral